GCAUUCCUGAACUAACGGGUGAGUGACGAUCUCGUCC
This 37-nucleotide ribosomal RNA is filed under the name Pythium catenulatum. RNAcentral describes it as "partial 28S ribosomal RNA". Lineage: Eukaryota; Oomycota; Peronosporomycetes; Pythiales; Pythiaceae. The record is from RNAcentral.